RNAcentral lists this ribosomal RNA (279 nucleotides) under uncultured bacterium. RNAcentral's name for it is "partial 16S ribosomal RNA". It matches the Rfam family "Bacterial small subunit ribosomal RNA", at positions 506 to 784 of the family's 1533-position model. The record is from RNAcentral.
UGCCAGCCGCCGCGGUAAUACGGAGGGUGCAAGCGUUACUCGGAAUCACUGGGCGUAAAGAGCGUGUAGGCGGGUUAAUAAGUCAGAUGUGAAAGCCAAUAGCUCAACUAUUGAACUGCAUUUGAAACUGAAAACCUAGAAUAUGGGAGAGGUAGAUGGAAUUUCCUAGGAAGCGGUAGAAUGUGUUGAUCUAGGAAGGAACACCAAUAGCGAAAGCAGUGCUCUGGCACAUUCCUGACAUUGAGGUGCGAAAGCGUGGGGAUCAAAAGGGAUUAGAUA